This 1355-nucleotide ribosomal RNA is filed under the name uncultured bacterium. RNAcentral's name for it is "16S ribosomal RNA". It matches the Rfam family "Bacterial small subunit ribosomal RNA". The record is from RNAcentral.
GACGAGCGGCGGACGGGUGAGUAACGCGUAAGAAUCUACCCCAAACUGAGGGAUAACUGCUCGAAAGAGUAGCUAAUACCGCAUGGUCCAGUUUACUGGUAAAGCCCUUCGGGGCGGUUUGGGAAGAGCUUGCGUCCGAUUAGCUAGUUGGUGAGGGUAAUGGCCCACCAAGGCGACAAUCGGUAGCUGGUUUGAGAGGAUGAUCAGCCACACUGGAACUGAGAUACGGUCCAGACUCCUACGGGAGGCAGCAGUAGGGAAUUUUCCACAAUGGGGGCAACCCUGAUGGAGCGACGCCGCGUGCAGGAUGAAGGCCUUUGGGUCGUAAACUGCUUUUUUCUGUGACGAAUAUGACGGUAGCAGAAGAAUAAGGGUCGGCUAACUACGUGCCAGCAGCCGCGGUCAUACGUAGGACCCAAGCGUUAUCCGGAAUUACUGGGCGUAAAGAGUUGCGUAGGCGGUCUUGUAAGCGAAGUGUGAAAUCGUGUGGCUCAACCAUGCGGCUAUGCUUUGAACUGCAAGACUAGAGUAUGGAAGAGGUAACUGGAAUUCCAAGUGUAGGAGUGAAAUCCGUAGAUAUUUGGAGGAACACCGAUGGCGUAGGCAGGUUACUGGUCCAUUACUGACGCUCAGGCACGAAAGCGUGGGGAGCAAACGGGAUUAGAUACCCCGGUAGUCCACGCCGUAAACUAUGGAUGCUAGCUGUUACGAGUAUCGACCCUCGUAGUAGCGAAGCUAACGCGUUAAGCAUCCCGCCUGGGGAGUACGGUCGCAAGAUUAAAACUCAAAGGAAUUGACGGGGACCCGCACAAGCGGUGGAGCGUGUUGUUUAAUUCGAAGCUAAGCGAAGAACCUUACCAAGGUUUGACAUCCUGCGAAGUUCUGCGAAAGCAGAGUGUGCCUUUUUGGAACGCAGAGACAGGUGUUGCAUGGCCGUCGUCAGCUCGUGUCGUGAGAUGUUUGGUUAAGUCCAUCAACGAGCGCAACCCUUAUGUUUAGUUGUAUUUCUCUAAACAGACUGCCCUGGCAACAGGGAGGAAGGGGGGGAUGAUGUCAGGUCAGUAUUACCCUUACACCUUGGGCUACAAACACGCUACAAUGGCCGGUACAAAGGGCUGCCAAGUCGCGGGACGGAGCAAAUCCCAUCAAAACCGGUCCCAGUUCGGAUAGCAGGCUGAAACUCGCCUGCUUGAAGCCGGAAUCGCUAGUAAUGGUAGGUCAGCACACUACCGUGAAUACGUUCCCGGGUCUUGUACACACCGCCCGUCAAGCCAUGAAAGUCACCAAUACCCAAAGUUCCAUUUUUGGACCUAAGGUAGGGGGGAUGAUUGGGGUUAAGUCGUAACAAGGUAACC